This 771-nucleotide long non-coding RNA is filed under the name Aotus nancymaae (Ma's night monkey). RNAcentral describes it as "lncRNA (ENSANAG00000038980.1)". Lineage: Eukaryota; Metazoa; Chordata; Mammalia; Primates; Aotidae. The record is from RNAcentral.
AUUGCAUUGCAUAAUAUUGUUAUAUUGGGAUCUUUUUCCAGAGGCCAGUUGGAAACUCCAAGCUGUUUAGAAGACCUGGAGAGCCAGAAAGUCAUCAGUCCUAUCCAAAAUGAAGUAAUUUGUGCAGGAAAAACUGACAUUUUAUGGAAGAACUGUGAGUUUCUAGUAAAUCGAAUGUGCCGUCUUGAAAGCCUCAUUCAGUCCUUGAAGACGAACAUCUUUCGCCUGCAAACUGAAAAGGAUUUGAAUCCUCAGAAAACAGGUAUAGAGAUAAGAAUCAUCAGAAAUUUGGUCCUGUGUAGGUGCUUGAUUUCCUUUACUGACUUUCUAUUGCUCGAUGCCCUCCUGUGCUGUCUGGUAACUUUUCUGAAAGAUCGACUGAAUACAAUACAGGACGAUAUUCUAAGGACCUGAAGCUGUUGCAUCUUGAAGUUAUGAAUUUGCGCCAGCAACUGAGAGCUGUAAAAGAGGAAGAAGACAAGGCACAAGACGAGGUGCAAAGGUUGACUGCCACUCUGGAGAUUGCCUCGCAAACAAAGAAGAAUGCAGCCGUUAUUGAAGAGGAACUGAAGACCACAAAACAUAAAAUGAACCUUAAAAUUCAGGAGGGGUACAUUUUGCAGCAAAACUGCAUUGCUCUACGCGAUUCUAUACAGAGCACUCAAGAACUACUGGCCCAGGAACAGAAAAAAAAAGAAGAGUUGGAGACUGCUACUUCACAGCUCAAAUCUGAUCUAAGUAUGAAACUAGAUGCCAGAAAUCAGCUUCUUG